UUUCCAGCAGCCGCGGUAAUACGUAGGGUGCAGGCGUUAAUCGGAAUUACUGGGCGUAAAGCGUGCGCAGGCGGCUCCUUAAGUCAGAUGUGAAAUCCCCGGGCUUAACCUGGGAACUGCGUUUGAAACUGGGGAGCUAGAGUGUGGAAGAGGGGGGUGGAAUUCCAGGUGUAGCAGUGAAAUGCGUAGAUAUCUGGAGGAACACCGAUGGCGAAGGCAGCCCCCUGGGCUAACACUGACGCUCAUGCACGAAAGCGUGGGGAGCAAACAGGAUUAGAUACCCCGGUAGUCC
RNAcentral lists this ribosomal RNA (292 nucleotides) under uncultured bacterium. RNAcentral describes it as "partial 16S ribosomal RNA". It matches the Rfam family "Bacterial small subunit ribosomal RNA", at positions 505 to 796 of the family's 1533-position model. The record is from RNAcentral.